AGUGAACGCUGGCGGUAGGCCUAACACAUGCAAGUCGAACGGCAGCACAGUAAGCGCUUGCUCUUACGGGUGGCGAGUGGCGGACGGGUGAGGCAUACAUCGGAAUCUACUUUUUCGUGGGGGAUAACGUAGGGAAACUUACGCUAAUACCGCAUACGACCUACGGGUGAAAGCAGGAGAUCUUCGGACCUUGCGCGAUUGAAUGAGCCGAUGUCGGAUUAGCUAGUUGGCGGGGUAAAGGCCCACCAAGGCGACGAUCCGUAGCUGGUCUGAGAGGAUGAUCAGCCACACUGGAACUGAGACACGGUCCAGACUCCUACGGGAGGCAGCAGUGGGGAAUAUUGGGCAAUGGGCGCAAGCCUGAUGGAGCAAUACCGCGUGAGUGAAGAAGGUCUUCGGGUUGUAAAGCCCUGUUGUUGGGAAAGAAAAGAAGUAGAUUAAUACACCGCUGUUUUGACGGUACCUAAAGAAUAAGCACCGGCUAACUACGUG
This 492-nucleotide ribosomal RNA is filed under the name uncultured bacterium. RNAcentral describes it as "partial 16S ribosomal RNA". It matches the Rfam family "Bacterial small subunit ribosomal RNA", at positions 29 to 507 of the family's 1533-position model. The record is from RNAcentral.